UCCCUGGUGGUCCAGUGGCUAAGACUCCUCACUCCCAAUUUAGGAGGCCUGGGUUUGAUCCCUGGUCAGGGAA
RNAcentral lists this transfer RNA (73 nucleotides) under Capra hircus (goat). It matches the Rfam family "tRNA". From Rfam's summary of the family: Transfer RNA (tRNA) molecules are approximately 80 nucleotides in length. RNAcentral also lists the same sequence under 1 other name. The record is from Rfam by way of RNAcentral. Lineage: Eukaryota; Metazoa; Chordata; Mammalia; Artiodactyla; Bovidae.